Canis lupus familiaris (dog) is the source of this 1995-nucleotide long non-coding RNA. RefSeq lists it as uncharacterized. Lineage: Eukaryota; Metazoa; Chordata; Mammalia; Carnivora; Canidae. The record is from RefSeq and is a predicted model, not a curated record. The transcript has 2 exons.
CACUCUCUUACUCCAUCUACUUUGCGGCCUUGGAGGGGAAGGAGGAAGCCGGGCGGAGCCGGGGCGGGGGAGGUAGCGGUCCCGGGGAGGUGUUUCUCGCCCGACGAGCCGCCUCGAGUGCAGAAAGUACAGGUCCACCAGUUCCGCCCAGGUGGUGGCCAGCCUCGGAGACUUUGAAAGCGUCUUAAAAGUGGUCAAGGAAGUCAUUAGUCUGGCAUCCGUGAGACAAUGGAGGAAUGAAUAGCCGUGGCCUCCAGGAGCUGGGUUCUAGCUGGCUCCGGGCACAACCGCUCCAGCCUCCAGGGUUCCUGGCAAGUGGGCACAAGGAGAAGCAGGCCCCGCGCGCCCCCCGGGGAGAGCGCCUCCGGGACGGAGUCGGCCCUAGGAUGGGAGUCAGAGUCAGGAAGCUAAGACCCCACAAGGCCCCGCCGAUCCUCCAGGAAGGAAGCCAACAUCAGCGCCCAGCCUGGACCUGCACUCCUCGAGUAAAGAAGUCCGUGAACCCAGCCCUGCUUGUCACGGCUCCUGACUACAUUGAGAUGAGCGCCCCAAAAGGUGGAGUUAACCGAACGGGUGAGAAACUGCAGCGGUGAUUCACCUACAUAAGGUUUUUCCUGUGGGCCCUCUGGGCGGCUGAAAAUCUUUUCAGGUGGUAGAUUUGCAGGCUGUGGUGAGAGAAGAAGAAUGGAGAACAGGCAGGUUACCUUGGCUUCCUGUGUCACUGGAGCCUCUCGGAUGAUGCUGGACUCGAGGAGGCCUGAUGAUGGGCCUCUGCUAACCGGUGGGCUCAGGUGGGACAGACGGGUGAUCACAGCACUCCCUGAAAGAAUGCGGCAAGUUGACCUCUUCUCAACCCCACCGCCUUCCUCAUCCUUAUGCUAAUAAGGAAGGUGAAGUUGGGCGCGGAAAUCUGGUGAAGAACUUUGGCAGAUCACGGCCCCGGUGUGCCACGCAAGCUCUUUGGUGUGUUUCAAGAUGGCGGAGCAAUGUCUGAAACCAAAAGUUGAAGCCCAGUAAAAUGGGAAGUCUGAUUGAGCUCUUCCAAGUAGAACUAGCACUAUUAGGACAUUGGUCAAGAGUAGAUACUGUUCAGCGGCAAAGCUCAUCUCCCGAGAAGUGUGGAUUUUUCUGCCCAUUGAUUACUGAGUCAACCUAGAGCUGCUCACAUUGCCUGGGUGCGUUGUGAAGGCGUUAAGAGGCCGUAUCAGGAGCCGUCAGUAUUUCUCCAUUUAAAGUUUGGAACUUAUGAACCGUCUGGGGAUCAUUUCUUGUUUAAUGUUCACCUGAAACUACCCACCUUAACACUGGUAAUCAUAAUCUGUUUAGGGGAAUUUUCACACUGGCCUUGGAACUAUCUUAGUGCCUCAAGAGUUCUUACUGGAGUCUGAUAACGGGACAAUAAUAAUAAUUACUUCUGUGAUAGUAGGCAAUUGUAGGAGGUGUAAGCUGCUUUCCCCGUUGCUGAUUAUUUGCAUCAUCAUUAGUAAAAGGGCUAAAUUGCAUUAUGUGAAUAUAACCAAUGUUAACAUUUUUAUGGACUGUGUCUACAUUAUAUAACAUACUGAAGAAUUUUAUUUGUUGUACGAAUUUAGCUUUAAAAACCACUAAGUGUUGAGAACUGUACAUCAGCCUAUAUAUUUCUAACUGUAAAGUUGUCUGUAUAAAAUCAUAGGGUAUUGAUUUAAGGACAGAUCUUGGAAUAUCUAGUACAUUGACCUUGAAAGAAAAAAAAGAAGAAAACUCAUCUUAUUCUCAAUUAUGGUAUUACAUUAAUUAAAUAUUAUAUUCAAGUAUGUAGAAGAUGGCUUCCUAUCACCUCCAACCAAUAAACUGUGCCUUGAGUGGGCUAAGAACGAUUAUAUCUGUAAUUGAUAUACUUUACCUGUGUGUCUACUGACAUUAUCCUUGACCCUUUAUAGUGAAGAUACGAUUUGGAUUAUAGAGAUUCUUCAUACUCUCUCUAGUGCUUCAGAUAAUUAAAUUGUAAAGAGUAAA